CCUACGGGAGGCAGCAGUGGGGAAUUUUCCGCAAUGGGCGAGAGCCUGACGGAGCAACGCCGCGUGAGGGACGAAGGCCUCUGGGCUGUAAACCUCUUUUCUCAAGGAAGAAGAUAUGACGGUACUUGAGGAAUAAGCCACGGCUAAUUCCGUGCCAGCAGCCGCGGUAAUACGGGAGUGGCAAGCGUUAUCCGGAAUUAUUGGGCGUAAAGCGUCCGCAGGCGGCCUUUCAAGUCUGCUGUUAAAGCGUGGAGCUUAACUCCAUUAUGGCAGUGGAAACUGAUGGGCUUGAGUAUGGUAGGGGCAGAGGGAAUUCCCGGUGUAGCGGUGAAAUGCGUAGAUAUCGGGAAGAACACCAGUGGCGAAGGCGCUCUGCUGGGCCAUUACUGACGCUCAUGGACGAAAGCCAGGGGAGCGAAAGGGAUUAGAUACCCCUGUAGUCCUGGCCGUAAACGAUGAACACUAGGUGUCGGGGGAAUCGACCCCUUCGGUGUCGUAGCUAACGCGUUAAGUGUUCCGCCUGGGGAGUACGCACGCAAGUGUGAAACUCAAAUGAAUUGACGG
Molecule: ribosomal RNA, 564 nt
Filed under: uncultured bacterium
Lineage: Bacteria
Description: bacterial SSU rRNA
Rfam family: Bacterial small subunit ribosomal RNA
Source: RNAcentral